This 650-nucleotide ribosomal RNA is filed under the name uncultured bacterium. RNAcentral describes it as "bacterial SSU rRNA". It matches the Rfam family "Bacterial small subunit ribosomal RNA", at positions 81 to 762 of the family's 1533-position model. The record is from RNAcentral.
GCGGGGUUACUCUAGUGGCGGACGGGUGAGUAAUACGUGAGAAUCUGCCCUUAGGGGGAGAAUAACGGCUGGAAACGGCCGCUAACUCUGCAUAUGCCGAGAGGUGAAAUAGUUUUUACUGCCUAGGGAUGAGCCCGCGCCUGAUUAGCUUGUUGGUGAGGUAAUGGCUUACCAAGGCCACGAUCAGUAGCUGGUUUGAGAGAAUGAUCAGCCACACUGGGACUGAGACACGGCCCAGACUCCUCCGGGAGGCAGCAGUGAGGAAUUUUCCGCAAUGGGCGAAAGCCUGACGGAGCAAUACCGCGUGAGGGAAUAAGGAUCUUGGUCUGUAAACCUCUUUUCUCAAGAAAGAAGUUCUGACGGUACUUGAAGAAUAAGCAUCGGCUAACUCCGUGCCAGCAGCCACGGUAAUACGGGGGAUGCAAGCGUUAUCCGGAAUCAUUGGGCGUAAAGCGCCUGUAGGUUGUUUAAUAAGUCUGUUGUUAAAGACUAGGGCUUAACCCUGGAAAAGCAAUGGAAACUACUAGACUUGAGUACGGCAGGGGUAGGGGGAACUUCUAGUGUAGCGGUGAAAUGCGUAGAUAUUAGAAAGAACACCGGUGGCGAAAGCGCCCUACUGGACCAUCACUGACACUGAGAGGCGAAAGCUA